GGGGGUGGGCGGCUUACAUGCAAGUCGAACGGUGAAGUCGAGUAGCUUGCUCUGAUGAGAUGCAUGUGGCGAACGGGUGAGUAACACGUGAGCAACCUGCCCCUGACUCUGGGAUAAGCGCUGGAAACGGCGUCUAAUACUGGAUACGAGCUGCGAUCGCAUGGUCAGCAGUUGAAAAGAUUUUUCGGUCUGGGAUGAGCUCGCGACCUAUCAGCUUGUUGGUGAGGUAACGGCUCACCAAGGCGUCGACGGGUAGCCGGCCUGAGAGGGUGACCGGCCACACUGGGACUGAGACACGGCCCAGACUCCUACGGGAGGCAGCAGUGGGGAAUAUUGCACAAUGGGCGGAAGCCUGAUGCAGCAACGCCGCGUGAGGGACGACGGCCUUCGGGUUGUAAACCUCUUUUAUCAGGGAAGAAGCGAAAGUGACGGUACCUGCAGAAAAAGCGCCGGCUAACUACGUGCCAGCAGCCGCGGUAAUACGUAGGGCGCAAGCGUUAUCCGGAAUUAUUGGGCGUAAAGAGCUCGUAGGCGGUUUGUCGCGUCUGCUGUGAAAACCCGAGGCUCAACCUCGGGCCUGCAGUGGGUACGGGCAGACUAGAGUGCGGUAGGGGAGAUUGGAAUUCCUGGUGUAACGGUGGAAUGCGCAGAUAUCAGGAGGAACACCGAUGGCGAAGGCAGAUCUCUGGGCCGUAACUGACGCUGAGGAGCGAAAGGGUGGGGAGCAAACAGGCUUAGAUACCCUGGUAGUCCACCCCGUAAACGUUGGGAACUAGUUGUGGGGUCCAUUCCACGGAUUCCGUGACGCAGCUAACGCAUUAAGUUCCCCGCCUGGGGAGUACGGCCGCAAGGCUAAAACUCAAAGGAAUUGACGGGGACCCGCACAAGCGGCGGAGCAUGCGGAUUAAUUC
RNAcentral lists this ribosomal RNA (911 nucleotides) under Microbacterium imperiale. RNAcentral describes it as "bacterial SSU rRNA". It matches the Rfam family "Bacterial small subunit ribosomal RNA", at positions 38 to 952 of the family's 1533-position model. Lineage: Bacteria; Bacillati; Actinomycetota; Actinomycetes; Micrococcales; Microbacteriaceae. The record is from RNAcentral.